GACGGAGGAGGCAAGCGUUAUCCGGAAUUAUUGGGCGUAAAGCGUUCGUAGGUGGUUUGACAAGUCUGGGGUUAAAGCCCGGAGCCCAACUCCUGUUAGGCCCUGGAAACUGCAAGACUUGAGUAAGGUAGGGGUGGCGGGAAUUCCCAGUGUAGCGGUGAAAUGCGUAGAGAUUGGGAAGAACACCGGCGGCGAAAGCGCGCAACUGGACCAGUACUGACACUGAGGGACGAAAGCUAGGGGAGCGAAAGGG
This 253-nucleotide ribosomal RNA is filed under the name uncultured bacterium. RNAcentral's name for it is "partial 16S ribosomal RNA". It matches the Rfam family "Bacterial small subunit ribosomal RNA", at positions 524 to 776 of the family's 1533-position model. The record is from RNAcentral.